UGGAGCCUCAGAAAAAGGACAGAUAGCCAGAGUAUGAGAACUAAAACGUCAUUGAGUUUCCCUGGUGGCCAUCUUCCCCUUGGUCACUGCCCCAGUCUAGAUCUGAAGAGUAAUAAUGGGACAAAAACAUCAGUACAAUGAGUGAGGGGGUCCCGGCAUGUGAGUUAGUGGCAGGCCGGGUGGGUAAAAAGGUAUGUAAGAAAAUAUGAUAGAUUGCCAAAAGAAUGCAAUUUGACCAAGAAUGACCCCCGCCUACAGCCGGAAGAAUGGCGUCUUCUCUUAACCGAGAAGAGAGGUGUGCUACUUGAUAAGGGUUUUGUAGAGACCGCUGAAGUUUAAAGUUGUUAAAUGCUUACACAAAGAAUAAUCGAAUCAAAUAGAAAAGUUAAAGUGAUGUAUUAGAAGCUCUAAUCCUACAAGAGUUGAGUGGUUGUUACUCAUAUGGCAUAACCACAAUCUGGAUCUUUUUCACCAACAUGAAGGUUGGUGAUCUGAGCAAAAUUCCAUCAGUAGCUGUUGAGAUUAUUCCAAUCCAUUCCCAAUAGAACAGCUAUCAUUGAUCCCACCACUCAUAGAAAUCAAAGAGAAGAACAAGAAAAGCUGCUAGCAGAAGGGUUAAGUUAGAAAAAUAGAGAAUAGUGAGAAGAGACAAUUCAUCUUUCAGUGCUGAAAACAGCAGCGCUGAUACAGGCAGUUCUCAGCCCCGCAGCCAAGCUCUACCCCGCCCGUACAGUACAAACUAGAGAAGAGGGGGGGAGAGGCGGGGGCACACA
Long non-coding RNA from Xenopus laevis (African clawed frog), 773 nucleotides. RefSeq lists it as uncharacterized. NCBI's taxonomy places the organism in Eukaryota, Metazoa, Chordata, Amphibia, Anura, Pipidae. The record is from RefSeq and is a predicted model, not a curated record. The transcript has 2 exons.